ACUUUGGUUCAUGUUUGAGAAUUUCUCUUUGCAGCCACAACAGCUGGGAUCCGGUUUAGAACGAAAACUUAACUCAGGACUCGUCACGGGGGCUGAGUAAAUACAUCACAUCCAUACAUCUGGCACGACUGCCUAAGAUCAGCGGUUCUCUUGGCGGGGAACAAAACACCUUGGAAGUUGCCAGGAAAAGUCACCCUCCGGGCAGCUGGGCCCUCAAGUCCCUUGCCGAGCUGUGGCUCGAAUAGAUGUCCCUUGCUGGAGAAGGAUGCUUUUGUGGUGCAGGAGCAAGGUGGAAUCUGUCUCUCUUGCAGGAUCCAAGUUUUUGCGACAAAGCAUGAAUGGAUGUUGUGGGACAGGAGCAGGAUUAAAAAAAUAGUCCCCCUGCAGGGCUCUGCAGUAAGGUUUCCUAGUGCAGAUACGGCUAUAGAACCCGUGGAAGGCGCUUAUGUGGAAACACAGGGCACUGUUAUCUUUGGCAACAUGCUACAGAUAAGGUACAGCAGUCUAAAGCAGGGAUGCCAGACAUGUGGGGAUCCAGCUCACACGGAUUAUUUAAGUAUGCAAAAAAACCUUCUCAGAUCAAUGUUUCCCAAACUGUGGGUCAUGGGAAGGGUCCAGAUAGGUCGCCCUCUCACUGUCCCUCUAACACCCCAGAAUGGGACGGGGCUGGGAGGCCAGAGCAAAGGGGCUGGGAGAGUGGGGAGCAGGAGGGAA
This is a long non-coding RNA of Dermochelys coriacea (leatherback sea turtle), 714 nucleotides long. RefSeq lists it as uncharacterized. The record is from RefSeq and is a predicted model, not a curated record. Lineage: Eukaryota; Metazoa; Chordata; Testudines; Dermochelyidae. The transcript has 3 exons.